Molecule: transfer RNA, 100 nt
Filed under: Deltaproteobacteria bacterium
Lineage: Bacteria; Pseudomonadati; Myxococcota; Myxococcia
Also listed under: 1 other name
Description: tRNA-Sec
Rfam family: Selenocysteine transfer RNA
Source: RNAcentral
GGAAGUGGAAAGCUCACUGGUGGGGCUCCCGGACUUCAAAUCCGGUGUGGGGGGCAGAGAAAACCUCCCAGGUGGGUUCGAUUCCCAUGCACUUCCGCCA